AUUGAACGCUGGCGGCAGGCCUAACACAUGCAAGUCGAGCGGAGCGGCGGACGGGCGGGUAAUGCCUAGGUAUCUGCCUGGUUGUUGGGGAUAACUUCCGGCUACGGGCGGUAACUCCGCAUACUUUCAGUUGAGUCUAGGGCGGAUUGGCUAGUUGGUGGGGGAAAGGCCUACUAAGGCGACGAUCCGUACCUGGUCUGAGAGGAUGAUCAGCCACACUGGAACUGAGACACGGUCCAGACUCCUACGGGAGGCAGCAGUGGGGAAUAUUGGACAAUGGGCGAAAGCCUGAUCCAGCCAUGCCGCGUGUGUGAAGAAGGUCUUCGGAUUGUAAAGCACUUUAAGUUGGGAGGCGUUACCCACAGAAUAAGCACCGGCUAACUUCGUGCCAGCAGCCGCGGUAAUUC
RNAcentral lists this ribosomal RNA (407 nucleotides) under uncultured bacterium. Its description in RNAcentral is "partial 16S ribosomal RNA". It matches the Rfam family "Bacterial small subunit ribosomal RNA", at positions 30 to 526 of the family's 1533-position model. The record is from RNAcentral.